CACGAGCGCACCCUUGUCAUUAGUUGCCAUCAGGUAAUGCGGGACACUCUGAGGAUACUGCCGGUGAUAACGGGGAGGAGGGGGGGGAUGACCUCAACUCCUCAUGCCCUUUAUGCCUGGGGCUACACACGUGCUACAAUGGGCGGUACAAAGGGUCGCAAACCCGCGAGGGGGAGCCAAUCCCAAAAAACCGGUCUCAUUGCAGAUAGUAGUCUGCAUCUCGACUGCAUGAAGGGGGAAUCGCUAGUAAUCGCAAAUCAGAACGCCGGGGAGAAUACUUUCCCGGGCCUUGUACACACCCCCC
Molecule: ribosomal RNA, 304 nt
Filed under: uncultured bacterium
Lineage: Bacteria
Description: partial 16S ribosomal RNA
Rfam family: Bacterial small subunit ribosomal RNA
Source: RNAcentral